Erpetoichthys calabaricus (reedfish) is the source of this 640-nucleotide long non-coding RNA. RefSeq lists it as uncharacterized. NCBI's taxonomy places the organism in Eukaryota, Metazoa, Chordata, Cladistia, Polypteriformes, Polypteridae. The transcript is spliced from 4 exons. The record is from RefSeq and is a predicted model, not a curated record.
UAGAGUUUCCUCUGAAUAACCUGCCGUUGUACCAAGCGACGAAACUCCAUUAAACGAAAGGAGACAAAAAAGAAACUGCGGCGAUGAAAUUCCAUUAGACAAAAGAAGGAGAAGCGACGAAACUAAUUGCUCGUAUUUUUGACAAUGGAACCAGCUUGCUACAAGAAUAUCUUCUGGAAACUGGAUGUUAAUGAAAAAUCAGGACAUCCCUGCUGGUUCAGUAGACUGUGGAGUAGACAUGUUGAUGGUAUUUGAAUAUUAACUGCUGUUGUAUCUGAAAAGGUGUCAUCCAAAUGGUUUAAAAAUGAUGAAGAUCCUAAAGGUCACCGGGUAAUGACCUCUAUACAGUAGAAGAUGAGAAGCUGACAGAUGGCCUCUACAACUACCUGAUGAAGUGCUCUCAAGAGCUUUAUGCACUUUUGUGAAGAUUGACAGAGUUCACAUCAUUCUGGAUGUGCUGAUUUGGCUUUAGUGAGUCUCUAAUGAGUACAGAAAGUGUCUAUAUGAGUAACGUCCUCUCUGUCUCUUUUUUUGUGAUUGGCUCUUAUUAAAGCUCGAGGAACAGUUGAGAUGAUUUCUCUAGCAGAGGCAGAAGGUCUGUUCAUUGAUGGACCAGCAGACGGUGAGUGGGACGUCAUGU